ACUGUAGUUAACCAAAAGCUUGAGAGAAUAUUAAAGUUUUGUGUUUUUUUUUUUUUUAAAUGUUGACACAGUGAUGUACCUCUGGUCCAAACGCCGCUUGUUAAUACCACAGUAACAGUAAGUGAAGACACCAGACCUGGAUCUGAUUCUGGGAACAGCUUGAAGACCUCUGUCUGAUGACCUGAGAGGCCUGAUGAUCAAUGAUCAAUGACACAGAUAAAUCUGAAUGGAGGGAACUUCUGCAAUCUCUGGUGUCUUCGUGGACUCCUCGUCUGACAAUUUCUUCUGUACUGAGGCCGCUGUGAGGUCUCACGCAGUCAGCAAGUAAAUUACUUUACUUUCAAUUUCAUAAAAAAACUAUCAUUUUUAUUGUAUAAGUAAGAGUGAACUGGCAAACCAAGAAAACCACCACACCUGCAGAAGUGACUCAAAUGUUAGUAAAGUAACUUGUAGUUUGACCAUGAAGUGACCAAAACAUUAUUACCACAGAAUCUGAAAUUCAAAAGGCAGCUGGUGAAGAAUGGACUGUUGGACUGUUAUUAUUUAGAUAGUCAUUCAAUAUAGAAUCUGUUUUUUUGUUUUUUUUUGGAAAUAACUACAUUUUGUUUAUGAUGCUCAGCUAAAGGAAACAAGACUGCACCAGCUGUCUCACUUAAUUUAAUUUUAAAGGGGACAUAUCAUGAAAAACUCUCAUUUUCAGUCAUGGUGUACAACCAUUUGAGUAUCUGGAGGGCCGACCAACCCAAAACCUGAAAUAAAAUAACCCAGCCAGUUAUUUGUGGGCGUCCUCAAUCUGAUGUAAUUCAACAAGCCAUUCAGAUUCAGCUCCUCUUCUAUGUCACAUGCAGGCUCAUUAGAAUAUACUGCUCCUCAUCUCCACCAUGGAUGUAUUAUAAGCUAUUUCCAUUUCGGCACCCUUUAUCCAAUCUGUCCGUUCAUAUCGACUGUGAUCAUGAGCGGAGCAGCAGCGCCAGCCCGCGCACUGCAGCGAUCGUUUCGGCAUCUCCUCUAUUUCUUUGGCGAGCUGCGAGCAAAUGUGUCAAGCCAGGAAGGUAAUCAUGUACAGGAAGGCUACAGCACAGCCGCAUACUUUACAAAAUGGAACAAAU
Sander lucioperca (pikeperch) is the source of this 1109-nucleotide long non-coding RNA. RefSeq lists it as uncharacterized. NCBI's taxonomy places the organism in Eukaryota, Metazoa, Chordata, Actinopteri, Perciformes, Percidae. The record is from RefSeq and is a predicted model, not a curated record. The transcript is spliced from 2 exons.